GACGAACGCUGGCGGCGUGCUUAACACAUGCAAGUCGAACGGAAAGGCCCUGCUUUUGUGGCGUGCUCGAGUGGCGAACGGGUGAGUAACACGUGAGUAUCCUGCCCUUGUCUUUGUGAUAACUUCAGGGAACUGCGGCUCAUACAGGAUAGGAGCUCCUGAUGCAUGGUGGUGGUUGGUAAGUGACGGCGGUUGUGGAUGGACUCGCGGCUUAUGAGCUUGUUGGUCGGGUAGUUGCUUACCAAGGCUUUGACGGGUAGCCGGCCUGAGAGCGUGACCGGCGACAAUGGGACUGAGAUACGCACCAGUAGCCAACCGGACGCAGCAGUCGAGAAUAUUGCAGAAUAGGCGGGAGCGAGAUAUAGAAAUGCCGCGUGCGGGAAAAUGUGCUACGAGGUAUAAACCGAUUUCGCAUGUGAUGAAGAGUGAUUGACGGUAAUGAGUCAGGAAGCAACGGCUAACUACGUG
This 468-nucleotide ribosomal RNA is filed under the name uncultured bacterium. Its description in RNAcentral is "partial 16S ribosomal RNA". It matches the Rfam family "Bacterial small subunit ribosomal RNA", at positions 28 to 507 of the family's 1533-position model. The record is from RNAcentral.